CUCCACUUAAUUGUACUAGCAGGUAUCUGAAGUCCCACAGGGACUCCUGAUAGACCAGAGCCUGUUUGGCUCUGGCAGUCUUGAGUGCUCUCCAAAAGCACCUCGAGUGCCAUAGGUUGCUGACCCCUAAUCUAUUACCAUUCAUUAAUUUCUGCAUGCACCAUUACUAUUUUACUCAUCUACUUAUAAGUUCACAGUCAAUUACAUAGAAUGGUCAUUCGCUUAACACAGUUACCUAUAUAUAGCCAAUUUAUUUUUUACAUUUAUAGUGCUUAUUCUUUGCUCUGUGUAUACAGUUUCCUAGCUACUAUUCUGUUUGUAAUCAGUAGUAUGUACACAAUUAUUGCCUGUUUGAAUAAAAUAUAUCUACAUCCUUACAACUCAUUCACCUGUCUGAAAAC
Pelobates cultripes (western spadefoot toad) is the source of this 401-nucleotide non-coding RNA. The record is from the annotation of a GenBank genome assembly. Lineage: Eukaryota; Metazoa; Chordata; Amphibia; Anura; Pelobatidae.